Molecule: long non-coding RNA, 158 nt
Organism: Aricia agestis (brown argus)
Lineage: Eukaryota; Metazoa; Arthropoda; Insecta; Lepidoptera; Lycaenidae
Exons: 3
Source: RefSeq, a predicted model, not a curated record
UUAUUUUUCGUUUCACCAACUACGUUUAUGUGUAUGUUAGUAUGUUUUAUAUAAGAGUAGAGAACCAUUUCUACUUUAUUAUUAUUUCUGCGUAGAACUAACGUGUAGCGUGCUUAAAGCCUCCAUACGCGGGCCUAUACAAGGCCGAUCGGCCCGGU